Molecule: ribosomal RNA, 667 nt
Filed under: uncultured rumen bacterium
Lineage: Bacteria
Description: bacterial SSU rRNA
Rfam family: Bacterial small subunit ribosomal RNA
Source: RNAcentral
GCGAACGGGUGAGUAACACGUGGGUAACCUGCCCAUCAGAAGGGGAUAACACUUGGAAACAGGUGCUAAUACCGUAUAACACUAUUUUCCGCAUGGAAGAAAGUUGAAAGGCGCUUUUGCGUCACUGAUGGAUGGACCCGCGGUGCAUUAGCUAGUUGGUGAGGUAACGGCUCACCAAGGCCACGAUGCAUAGCCGACCUGAGAGGGUGAUCGGCCACACUGGGACUGAGACACGGCCCAGACUCCUACGGGAGGCAGCAGUAGGGAAUCUUCGGCAAUGGACGAAAGUCUGACCGAGCAACGCCGCGUGAGUGAAGAAGGUUUUCGGAUCGUAAAACUCUGUUGUUAGAGAAGAACAAGGAUGAGAGUAGAACGUUCAUCCCUUGACGGUAUCUAACCAGAAAGCCACGGCUAACUACGUGCCAGCAGCCGCGGUAAUACGUAGGUGGCAAGCGUUGUCCGGAUUUAUUGGGCGUAAAGCGAGCGCAGGCGGUUUCUUAAGUCUGAUGUGAAAGCCCCCGGCUCAACCGGGGAGGGUCAUUGGAAACUGGGGAGACUUGAGUGCAGAAGAGGAGAGUGGAAUUCCAUGUGUAGCGGUGAAAUGCGUAGAUAUAUGGAGGAACACCAGUGGCGAAAGCGGCUCUCUGGUCUGUAACUGACGCUGAGG